Molecule: long non-coding RNA, 406 nt
Filed under: Bos taurus (domestic cattle)
Lineage: Eukaryota; Metazoa; Chordata; Mammalia; Artiodactyla; Bovidae
Description: long non-coding RNA NONBTAT022455
Source: RNAcentral
GUUUUUCAUGGCAUGUGACAAUCUCGCUUCUUUAUUAAUUAUUUUGUAUCCUCUGCUGCACUACAAGCUGAGGAAGGAGAGAGAGUCUCUAUGCUUGUGUUCACAUAGUACUAGCAUGAUGACAUAGGCUGAGUAGGCACAAAGUUAUUGUUGAUUGAAUACACAUUCAUGAAUCAUUCUAGAGAGACUAUUUUCUAUUUAUUAAAAUCUGAAAACACCUUAAUAUUCAGUCUUAUUUCUAUCUUUUUUUACCUCUUAUAUUCUACAAUGGUAGCUUGAAGCAUUUUUGUAAUUUUCUAACUAAGAACUAAAUCAUUUAGUGUUUUCUUAUUACUUCACAUAAUUUACUGUGUAGAAUUCUGAGCUUUUUGUACAAAUCAGAGUUUAAAGUUUUCAGAUUCAUGGA